GCUGCUACCAUUAGUUCUUUGGUUAAAACAGAAGGAAAAUAGAGAAAGAGGGGAUUAGAGAUGAUAGUAUUUUCAGUCAGAAAUCUAGAGAAAAUCUAACUAGAGGAAGAUGAUCUAUUGAUAACCCAAUUUGGAAGAAAAGAUUUCAAACAGUGGAAAGAGAAAGAGAACUGUGUUGGUGGCUAUAGUGUUCCAACAAAUUGAGACUUGAAGCAUCCCAACCCGACAUAAAAAUGAAGCAUCAGCAUUAUCAUUAGCACUCAGAUUAGAGGAGCAUUUUGUUUGAUAGCUAAACUAUAAGAGCAUUUUGCAUGCUAGUUAAGUGAGAGAAGCAUUUCUUCUUAUCAUGUUAGCUAGUGAGAGGAGUAUUUUAGGUUAUGUUAUGUAUUUUGGAUUGUUCAAACCAAAAAAUAUGAAUGUAUUAUACUUUUAAGCUACAUGUAUAAAGUUAUGGAUUGAUGAGUAAAAGCUUAAUGUUGUUUUAA
This is a non-coding RNA of Elaeis guineensis (African oil palm), 485 nucleotides long. The record is from RefSeq and is a predicted model, not a curated record. Lineage: Eukaryota; Viridiplantae; Streptophyta; Magnoliopsida; Arecales; Arecaceae.